AGUUGGUGAGAUAACAACUCACCAAGACCGCGAUGGGUAGCCGGCCUGAGAGGGUGAACGGCCACACUGGAACUGAGACACGGUCCAGACUCCUACGGGAGGCAGCAGUGGGGAAAUAUUGCACAAUGGAGGAAACUCUGAUGCAGCGACGCCGCGUGAGUGAAGAAGGCCUUCGGGUCGUAAAACUUUGUCCUGGGGGACGAUAAUGACGGUACCCUAGGAGGAAGCCCCGGCUAACUACGUGCCAGCAGCCGCGGUAAUACGUAGGGGGCAAGCGUUGUCCGGAUUUAUUGGGCGUAAAGGGUGCGCAGGCGGCCUUUUAAGUCAGAUGUGAAAGCCCACGGCUCAACCGUGGUAAGCAUUUGAAACUGGAAGGCUUGAGUUAAGGAGAGGAAAGUGGAAUUCCUAGUGUAGCGGUGAAAUGCGUAGAUAUUAGGAGGAAUACCAGUGGCGAAGGCGACUUUCUGGACUUAUACUAACGCUGAGGCACGAAAGCGUGGGGAGCAAACAGGAUUAGAUACCCUGGUAGUCCACGCCGUAAACGAUGAGCGCUAGGUGUCGGGGGUCAAACCUCG
Molecule: ribosomal RNA, 575 nt
Filed under: uncultured bacterium
Lineage: Bacteria
Description: bacterial SSU rRNA
Rfam family: Bacterial small subunit ribosomal RNA
Source: RNAcentral